AGUCGAGCGAGCGGAACUAAAGAUUUACUUCGGUAAUGACGUUAGGAAAGCGAGCGGCGGAUGGGGAGUAACACGUGGGGAACCUGCCCCAUAGUCUGGGAUACCACUUGGAAACAGGUGCUAAUACCGGAUAAGAAAGCAGAUCGCAUGAUCAGCUUUUAAAAGGCGGCGUAAGCUGUCGCUAUGGGAUGGCCCCGCGGUGCAUUAGCUAGUUGGUAAGGUAAAGGCUUACCAAGGCGAUGAUGCAUAGCCGAGUUGAGAGACUGAUCGGCCACAUUGGGACUGAGACACGGCCCAAACUCCUACGGGAGGCAGCAGUAGGGAAUCUUCCACAAUGGACGCAAGUCUGAUGGAGCAACGCCGCGUGAGUGAAGAAGGUUUUCGGAUCGUAAAGCUCUGUUGUUGGUGAAGAAGGAUAGAGGUAGUAACUGGCCUUUAUUUGACGGUAAUCAACCAGAAAGUCACGGCUAACUACGUGCCAGCGGCCGCGGUAAUACGUAGGUGGCAAGCGUUGUCCGGAUUUAUUGGGCGUAAAGCGAGCGCAGGCGGAAGAAUAAGUCUGAUGUGAAAGCCCUCGGCUUAACCGAGGAACUGCAUCGGAAACUGUUUUUCUUGAGUGCAGAAGAGGAGAGUGGAACUCCAUGUGUAGCGGUGGAAUGCGUAGAUAUAUGGAAGAACACCAGUGGCGAAGGCGGCUCUCUGGUCUGCAACUGACGAUGAGGCUCGAAAGCAUGGGUAGUGAACAGGAUUAGAUACCCUGGUAGUCCAUGCCGUAAACGAUGAGUGCUAAGUGUUG
Molecule: ribosomal RNA, 796 nt
Filed under: uncultured bacterium
Lineage: Bacteria
Description: bacterial SSU rRNA
Rfam family: Bacterial small subunit ribosomal RNA
Source: RNAcentral